This 102-nucleotide non-coding RNA is filed under the name Caloramator quimbayensis. RNAcentral describes it as "Guanine sequence". It matches the Rfam family "Purine riboswitch aptamer". Rfam says of the family: Riboswitches are metabolite binding domains within certain messenger RNAs that serve as precision sensors for their corresponding targets. Allosteric rearrangement of mRNA structure is mediated by ligand binding, and this results in modulation of gene expression. Lineage: Bacteria; Bacillati; Bacillota; Clostridia; Eubacteriales; Clostridiaceae. The record is from RNAcentral.
AUAACAAUUGUUUUUGUAGCUCAUAUAAAUCCGGUAAUAAGGACCAGAUGUUUCUACCAGACGACCGUAAAUUGUCUGACUAUGAGCGGAUUUAUCCAUAAG